Molecule: long non-coding RNA, 629 nt
Organism: Cyprinus carpio carpio
Lineage: Eukaryota; Metazoa; Chordata; Actinopteri; Cypriniformes; Cyprinidae
Source: Ensembl
CGGGAACUCCGGGAAAGGAAAUCAGGGUUUCAUGGAUCGCAGGUGGAUAGAUGAGCGGGGCGAUCGCGGAUUGGGCAGUGUGAAGAGAAGGAGGAGUAUAAAGAGGGCCUCAGAAACUGCAGAGGGGGAGUUUUUUUUAUUCUAGCCGAUACGGCGAGUGAGUUGGAGUGUUUGGGCGAGUGCAGCGGAAAGAAGGCGGAGGAUAUUGUUGGCUGGGUGAAGACGGAGACAAGGGUUUGGCAGAAACAGAAACCGGGCUGAGUAUAUUGGGAUGUCUACCUAACUGUGAAAUGCUCUAUGGACAUGUGUAACAAAUUCUGAGUGGUUGAAAACAGGAAGACUCACCGGAAGUAUCGCCGAAGGAGGCCCUUUCGACAGGUCACGUGGCAGCAGGAGAAGUAUCCAGGAGCUGGAAAGAAGAGGGAAAAGAGACCUUGUGUUAGUAACGGUUGUCUCCACGAUUUCCAGGACGAGUCUUUGGUCAGACGGGGUUUUGACCCUAAAUUCACCAAGAGUGUGUGGAGUGCAGUGGGCCCGACGAAAUCCUUGAAGGAAGUGAGUACUGAGGCGGGCGAAGAAAACAUCUCCAAUUAUAUGCCGUCGAUGACAUCCUGACCCUUCUUCCCCAC